UACGUAGGGGGCUAGCGUUGUCCGGAAUCAUUGGGCGUAAAGAGCGCGUAGGCGGCUAGAUAAGUCCGGUGUGAAAGUCACAGGCUCAACCUGUGAAUGCCGCUGGAAACUGUCUGGCUAGAGUCCGGAAGGGGCGAGUGGAAUUCCCGGUGUAGCGGUGAAAUGCGCAGAUAUCGGGAGGAACACCAAUGGCGAAGGCGACGUGCUGGGUUGCACCUGACGCUGAGAUGCGAAAGUGUGGGGAGCAAACGGG
RNAcentral lists this ribosomal RNA (253 nucleotides) under uncultured bacterium. RNAcentral's name for it is "partial 16S ribosomal RNA". It matches the Rfam family "Bacterial small subunit ribosomal RNA", at positions 524 to 776 of the family's 1533-position model. The record is from RNAcentral.